Molecule: small nucleolar RNA, 129 nt
Organism: Suncus etruscus (white-toothed pygmy shrew)
Lineage: Eukaryota; Metazoa; Chordata; Mammalia; Eulipotyphla; Soricidae
Product: small nucleolar RNA SNORA40
Exons: 1
Source: RefSeq, a predicted model, not a curated record
AGCACCUGUGUGUGUGUUUAUUUUGACUCGUCGACAGAAACUUUGAGACAGGUGCGAAAACUAAAUCCUCUUUUGCAAUUCAGAACUCAUUAUUUGGUAUGAGUUCUGAUACAGAUGAGAAGGAACAUA